CCUACGGGGGGCUGCAGUGGGGAAUAUUGGACAAUGGGCGAAAGCCUGAUCCAGCCAUGCCGCGUGUGUGAAGAAGGCCUUCGGGUUGUAAAGCACUUUCAGUGGGGAAGAAAGCCUUGGGGCUAAUACCCUCGAGGAAGGACAUCACCCACAGAAGAAGCACCGGCUAACUCCGUGCCAGCAGCCGCGGUAAUACGGAGGGUGCGAGCGUUAAUCGGAAUUACUGGGCGUAAAGCGCGCGUAGGCGGUCUGAUAAGCCGGUUGUGAAAGCCCCGGGCUCAACCUGGGAACGGCAUCCGGAACUGUCAGGCUAGAGUGCAGGAGAGGAAGGUAGAAUUCCCGGUGUAGCGGUGAAAUGCGUAGAGAUCGGGAGGAAUACCAGUGGCGAAGGCGGCCUUCUGGACUGACACUGACGCUGAGGUGCGGAAGCGUGGGUAGCAAACAGGAUUAGAUACCCUGGUAGUC
RNAcentral lists this ribosomal RNA (465 nucleotides) under Vreelandella stevensii. RNAcentral describes it as "partial 16S ribosomal RNA". It matches the Rfam family "Bacterial small subunit ribosomal RNA", at positions 338 to 795 of the family's 1533-position model. Lineage: Bacteria; Pseudomonadati; Pseudomonadota; Gammaproteobacteria; Oceanospirillales; Halomonadaceae. The record is from RNAcentral.